Felis catus (domestic cat) is the source of this 85-nucleotide non-coding RNA. NCBI's taxonomy places the organism in Eukaryota, Metazoa, Chordata, Mammalia, Carnivora, Felidae. The record is from Rfam.
GCCUGGGUGGCUCAGUCGGUUGAGCGUCCGACUUCGGCUCGGGUCACGAUCUCACGGAUCAUGGGUUCGAGCCCCGCGUCGGGCU